This 211-nucleotide ribosomal RNA is filed under the name uncultured bacterium. RNAcentral describes it as "partial 16S ribosomal RNA". It matches the Rfam family "Bacterial small subunit ribosomal RNA", at positions 524 to 731 of the family's 1533-position model. The record is from RNAcentral.
UACGAAGGGGGCUAGCGUUGCUCGGAAUCACUGGGCGUAAAGGGUGCGUAGGCGGGUCUUUAAGUCAGGGGUGAAAAUCCUGGGAGCUCAACUCCAGAACUGCCUUCGAUACUGGCGAUCUUGAGUCCGGAAGAGGUGAGUGGAACUCCUAGUGUAGAGGUGGAAUUCGUAGAUAUUAGGAAGAACACCAGUGGCGAAGGCGGCUACACUG